GUGGGGAAUAUUGGACAAUGGGCGAAAGCCUGAUCCAGCCAUGCCGCGUGUGUGAAGAAGGUCUUCGGAUUGUAAAGCACUUUAAGUUGGGAGGAAGGGUAGUAACCUAAUACGUUGCUACUUUGACGUUACCGACAGAAUAAGCACCGGCUAACUUCGUGCCAGCAGCCGCGGUAAUACGAAGGGUGCAAGAGUUAAUCGGAAUUACUGGGCGUAAAGCGCGCGUAGGUGGUUUUGUAAGUUGGAGGUGAAAUCCCCGGGCUCAACCUGGGAACAGCCUCCAAAACUGCAUGACUAGAGUACGGUAGAGGGUAGUGGAAUUUCCUGUGUAGCGGUGAAAUGCGUAGAUAUAGGAAGGAACACCAGUGGCGAAGGCGACUACCUGGACUGAUACUGACACUGAGGUGCGAAAGCGUGGGGAGCAAACAGGAUUAGAUACCCCUGUAGUCC
Molecule: ribosomal RNA, 450 nt
Filed under: uncultured bacterium
Lineage: Bacteria
Description: partial 16S ribosomal RNA
Rfam family: Bacterial small subunit ribosomal RNA
Source: RNAcentral